GGAACCUUCCACGGUUUCUGCGACGCAGCUUACGCAUUAAGUGCCCCGCCUGGGGAGUACGAUCGCAAGAUUAAAACUCAAAGGAAUUGACGGGGCCCCGCACAAGCAGCGGAGCAUGCGGCUUAAUUCGACGCAACGCGAAGAACCUUACCAAGGCUUGACAUAUAGGGAAAAGUGGCAGAGAUGUCAUGUCCGCAAGGGCCCUAUACAGGUGGUGCAUGGUUGUCGUCAGCUCGUGUCGUGAGAUGUUGGGUUAAGUCCCGCAACGAGCGCAACCCUCGUUCUGUGUUGCCAGCAUUUAGUUGGGGACUCACAGGAGACUGCCGGGGUUAACUCGGAGGAAGGUGGGGAUGACGUCAAAUCAUCAUGCCCCUUAUGUCUUGGGCUGCACGCAUGCUACAAUGGCCGGUACAGAGGGCUGCAAUACCGUAAGGUGGAGCGAAGCCCAAAAAGCCGGUCUCAGUUCGGAUUGAGGUCUGCAACUCGACCUCAUGAAGUUGGAGUUGCUAGUAAUCGUAGAUCAGCAACGCUACGGUGAAUACGUUCCCGGGGCUUGUACACACCGCCCGUCACGUCACGAAAGUCGGUAACACC
This 594-nucleotide ribosomal RNA is filed under the name uncultured Actinomycetes bacterium. RNAcentral's name for it is "bacterial SSU rRNA". It matches the Rfam family "Bacterial small subunit ribosomal RNA", at positions 825 to 1421 of the family's 1533-position model. Lineage: Bacteria; Bacillati; Actinomycetota; Actinomycetes. The record is from RNAcentral.